Molecule: transfer RNA, 66 nt
Filed under: Bovicola caprae
Lineage: Eukaryota; Metazoa; Arthropoda; Insecta; Psocodea; Bovicoliidae
Description: tRNA-Gln
Source: RNAcentral
UCUUGGGAAGUGAAUUUCACGCCAUAUUUUGGGUAUGGAAGAGAAAAUUAAGUUUUUCUCCAAGAC